UACGGGGGAUGCAAGCGUUAUCCGGAAUCAUUGGGCGUAAAGCGCCUGUAGGUUGUUUACUAAGUCUGUUGUUAAAGACUAGGGCUUAACCCUAGGAAAGCAAUGGAAACUUGUAGACUAGAGUAUGGCAGGGGUAGAGGGAAUUUCUAGUGUAGCGGUGAAAUGCGUAGAUAUUAGAAAGAACACCGGUGGCGAAAGCGCUCUACUGGACCAUUACUGACACUCAGAGGCGAAAGCUAGGGUAGCAAAAGGGAUUAGAUACCCCUGUAGUCCUGGCCGUAAACGAUGAACACUAGGUGUCGGGGGAUCGCCCCGGUGUCGUAGCCAACGCGUUAAGUGUUCCGCCUGGGGAGUACGCACGCAAGUGUG
RNAcentral lists this ribosomal RNA (369 nucleotides) under uncultured phototrophic eukaryote. RNAcentral's name for it is "SSU rRNA". It matches the Rfam family "Bacterial small subunit ribosomal RNA", at positions 524 to 896 of the family's 1533-position model. The record is from RNAcentral.